AAGAUUAAUUUAAACAAUACACGAAUCCAUUAACUUUUUAUCCUAAAUCACGUCACCCAUCAUGAGAAAUCAGAACAGAAACCGUCGGCAAGCCCACCCAAAUGGAUUCGGAGGAAUCAGAAGAGAAAUACCCAAAUAGAUUCAUUCCCCCAACAAACCAUUUUUUCCCGCAAUUCCUGUAAAGCCAAUAAUAAUUUAUACAGUAUACCCAGAUCAAGAAAAUAUUCUAUGUAUUUUAUAGCAUGAUUUCCCUGAGGUCCAUACAGAGACCAUGCCCUAAAAAAACCAUUUUUUUAGCAAGGCGUAGGUAACACCAACACUUUUCGCCGCUUGCAGAAAACGAUAAAGCCAUUAAAGCACCAGGUAACACGUUUGUGGCCAGUUGGCAGGGGCCACCCAAAUAUUUUGCCUCAAGAGGGGCGGAAAAAAGGUUUGUGUACAACAAACAUGGCAGCACCGACAAAAUUUGAAGUUACAGAGCAAUAAGCAAGAUUGGUUGUUUGUUUGUUAACAAGUAAUCAAAGCGUCCCACAUGCGGUGCGCUGGAAAAGACGGUGCAUGCGCUGGUGCAGACACACAUGCAAGUGGCGGCGUGGAACGUACACAGCUGGUUCUGGUUCAGUGGCCAAGGUGAAAAGGACAUCUGUGGUCAAGCACAAGGACAAAGACAGGGCAUUACUAUUUACAAAUGAACAAAAGAAAAUGAAAAAUUCAUUGCUCAAAGAGUACUGGGUCAAAUUAUUUUUAUAUUAAAUUAAUGUUCGUGUGGAUUGUGGGUAAAGACUCCGUAGUAUAAAAAAUGAAGCUGGUACUAGAUACAUCUGAAUCUGUAAUAGUAAGAGAAGAUUUUAUCUGUAAAUAAUAACCAAGCUUAUCAGGGGAAAAAAAUGCCUUUUGCUGCCACAAAAGCUCUCAAAAAGUGGAAAAGGGUGAUCCAAACUACUGGCAUGGCUGCAUUCUCCAAAUAAUAAACAAGAUUAUGGCUUUU
Molecule: long non-coding RNA, 988 nt
Organism: Cryptomeria japonica (Japanese cedar)
Lineage: Eukaryota; Viridiplantae; Streptophyta; Pinopsida; Cupressales; Cupressaceae
Exons: 2
Source: RefSeq, a predicted model, not a curated record